This 119-nucleotide ribosomal RNA is filed under the name Beta vulgaris subsp. vulgaris (sugar beet). The record is from RNAcentral. Lineage: Eukaryota; Viridiplantae; Streptophyta; Magnoliopsida; Caryophyllales; Amaranthaceae.
GGGUGCAACCAUACCAGCACUAAUGCACCGGAUCCCAUCAAAAUUCCGCAGUUAAGCGUGAUUGGGCGAGAGUAGUACUAGGAUGGGUGACCUCUUGGGAAGUCCUCGUGUUGCACCCC